CUACGGGUUGCAGCAGUGGGGAAUAUUGGACAAUGGACCAAAAGUCUGAUCCAGCAAUUCUGUGUGCACGAUGAAGGUCUUCGGAUUGUAAAGUGCUUUCAGUAGGGAAGAAGAAUGUGACGGUACCUACAGAAGAAGCGACGGCUAAAUACGUGCCAGCAGCCGCGGUAAUACGUAUGUCGCAAGCGUUAUCCGGAAUUAUUGGGCAUAAAGGGCGUCUAGGUGGUUUACUAAGUCUGAUGUGAAAAUGCGGGGCUCAACUCCGUAUUGCGUUGGAAACUGGUUUACUAGAGUCUUGGAGAGGUGGGCGGAACUACAAGUGUAGAGGUGAAAUUCGUAGAUAUUUGUAGGAAUGCCGAUGACGAAGGUAGCUCACUGGACAAGUACUGACACUAAAGCGCGAAAGCUAGGGGAGCAAACAGGAUUAGAUACCCUCGUAGUC
This 442-nucleotide ribosomal RNA is filed under the name uncultured bacterium. RNAcentral's name for it is "partial 16S ribosomal RNA". It matches the Rfam family "Bacterial small subunit ribosomal RNA", at positions 339 to 795 of the family's 1533-position model. The record is from RNAcentral.